AUGCUACUCCCUCCGUUCGGAAUUACUUGUCGCGGAAAUGGAUGUAUCUAGAUGUAUUUUAGUUCUAGAUACAUCCAUUUCCGAGACAAGUUAUUCCGAACGGAGGGAGUAUUAU
This is a non-coding RNA of Triticum aestivum (bread wheat), 115 nucleotides long. The record is from Rfam. NCBI's taxonomy places the organism in Eukaryota, Viridiplantae, Streptophyta, Magnoliopsida, Poales, Poaceae.